This 334-nucleotide long non-coding RNA is filed under the name Sus scrofa (pig). RNAcentral describes it as "lncRNA (ENSSSCG00070029028.1)". Lineage: Eukaryota; Metazoa; Chordata; Mammalia; Artiodactyla; Suidae. The record is from RNAcentral.
UUUUUUUAGGAUUUGGAGGUUGGAGCUGUGAUUGAGAGAAUCAGCACUCUAGACCGUGCUUCUAGAGCUUCUUCAGUGACUUCAGACCUUCCUACUCUUACCAAACAGAAAUUGCCCUUGCUCUCCACAGGGACUCUGAGCUCCUGAAUUGCCAGCCUGGUCUUCUUUGGAAGGUGAGCCUCUUAUCUCUAACUGUGAAGUCUCCUUCAGGGAAGAGGUGAGUGAAAGGAGGCUUAUUCCCCUUCCCCACUUACAUCCCCAUUUUCCAGUUCACAACUGCCUGUGCAAAGACAUAGGAUAAGAAUACCUUGCAAAGUCUGAUUCAGACAAUCAG